RNAcentral lists this ribosomal RNA (623 nucleotides) under uncultured bacterium. RNAcentral's name for it is "bacterial SSU rRNA". It matches the Rfam family "Bacterial small subunit ribosomal RNA", at positions 92 to 760 of the family's 1533-position model. The record is from RNAcentral.
GGAGCGGCGGACGGGUGAGUAACGCGUGGGAACGUGCCCUCUUGCCUGGGAUAACCACUGGAAACGGUGGCUAAAACCGGAUGAGCCCUACGGGGGAAGGAGAGGAUCGGCCCGCGUCUGAUUAGAUAGUUGGUGGGGUAACGGCCUACCAAGUCGACGAUCAGUACCUGGUUUGAGAGGAUGAUCAGGCACACUGGGACUGAGACACGGCCCAGACUCCUACGGGAGGCAGCAGUGGGGAAUCAUAGACAAUGGGGGCAACCCUGAUCUUGCCAUGCCGCGUGGACGACGAAGGCCUUAGGGUUGUAAGGUCCUUUCACUGGGGAAGAUAGUGACGGUACCCGGAGAAGAAGCCCCGGCUAACUCCGUGCCAGCAGCCGCGGUAAUACGGAGGGGGCUAGCGUUGUUCGGAAUUACUGGGCGUAAAGCGCGCGUAGGCGGGCUGUUAAGUCGGGGGUGAAAUCCCGGGGCUCAACCCCGGAACUGCCUUCGAUACUGGCAGCCUAGAGGACGGUAGAGGCUAGUGGAAUGGCGAGUGUAGAGGUGAAAUUCGUAGAUAUUCGCCGGAACACCAGUGGCGAAGGCGACUGGCUGGACCGUUACUGACGCUGAGGUGCGAAAGC